Molecule: ribosomal RNA, 483 nt
Filed under: uncultured bacterium
Lineage: Bacteria
Description: partial 16S ribosomal RNA
Rfam family: Bacterial small subunit ribosomal RNA
Source: RNAcentral
UUGAACGCUGGCGGCAGGCCUCACCCAUGCAAGUCGCGCGGAUGAAGGGAGCUUGCUCCUGGAUUCAGCGGCGGACGGGUGAGUAAUGCCUAGGAAUCUGCCUGGUAGUGGGGGAUAACGUCCGGAAACGGGCGCUAAUACCGCAUACGUCCUGAGGGAGAAAGUGGGGGAUCUUCGGACCUCACGCUAUCAGAUGAGCCUAGGUCGGAUUAGCUAGUUGGUGGGGUAAAGGCCUACCAAGGCGACGAUCCGUAACUGGUCUGAGAGGAUGAUCAGUCACACUGGAACUGAGACACGGUCCAGACUCCUACGGGAGGCAGCAGUGGGGAAUAUUGGACAAUGGGCGAAAGCCUGAUCCAGCCAUGCCGCGUGUGUGAAGAAGGUCUUCGGAUUGUAAAGCACUUUAAGUUGGGAGGAAGGGCAGUAAGUUAAUACCUUGCUGUUUUGACGUUACCAACAGAAUAAGCACCGGCUAACUUCGUG